Molecule: ribosomal RNA, 453 nt
Filed under: uncultured bacterium
Lineage: Bacteria
Description: SSU rRNA
Rfam family: Bacterial small subunit ribosomal RNA
Source: RNAcentral
AGAACGAACGCUGGCGGCAUGCCUAACACAUGCAAGUCGAACGCUCUUGAGGCUUCGGUUUCAAGGGAGUGGCGCACGGGUGAGUAGCGCGUGGGAACCUGCCCUGUUGUGGGGGAUAACCGAGGGAAACUUCGGCUAAUACCGCAUAAGCCGGGAAACCGGGAAAGAUUUAUCGCGACAGGAGGGGCCCGCGUCGGAUUAGCUAGUUGGCGGGGUAACGGCCCACCAAGGCAGUGAUCCGUAGCUGGUCUGAGAGGAUGAUCAGCCACACUGGGACUGAGACACGGCCCAGACUCCUACGGGAGGCAGCAGUGGGGAAUAUUGGACAAUGGGCGCAAGCCUGAUCCAGCAAUGCCGCGUGAGUGAUGAAGGCCUUAGGGUUGUAAAGCUCUUUCGCCCGCGACGAUGAUGACGGUAGCGGAGAAGAAGCCCGCUACUCGCGCCAGCAGCCGC